CUUAAAGUUUAGUUGUAUUAGAUGUGUAUUAAUUAUUUGUGCCUUAUUGAAUAACUAAUCUGCAUUUGAUUUCCUUCUUUAUAUAUUAUUUUACCAGGAUGCUUUCUGUACAAAUUGUGAACCCAUUCCAUAGUGUAUGUUUUAGUGGAUGAGCUUCUGUUUUAUUGCAGUCUUGAUAUUUAUUGGAGCAGUAAAUGAAAUAAUAGGAAAGAAAGUUAGGUAGGAAUGUGUCAUCACUGGAGAAGACUGAGGUAGAAGACGCUGCAAUUAAGCAAAUGUCAUGAAGCCAAACAUGAGAUUCUGAAAAGUCAUGACUGGAAUUAUU
RNAcentral lists this long non-coding RNA (325 nucleotides) under Anser brachyrhynchus (Pink-footed goose). RNAcentral describes it as "lncRNA (ENSABRG00000020182.1)". Lineage: Eukaryota; Metazoa; Chordata; Aves; Anseriformes; Anatidae. The record is from RNAcentral.